GACGCGGUGGCCUAAUGGUUUGCACGUUGGACUCCGGAUCGAGCGGUCCUGGGUCGAGCCCUGGCCUGGGUCA
RNAcentral lists this transfer RNA (73 nucleotides) under Desmophyllum pertusum. RNAcentral describes it as "tRNA-Arg". The record is from RNAcentral. Lineage: Eukaryota; Metazoa; Cnidaria; Anthozoa; Scleractinia; Caryophylliidae.